GUGGCGAACGGGUGAGUAACACGUGAGCAAUCUGCCCUUGACUCUGGGAUAACUGCGGGAAACUGUAGCUAAUACCGGAUACUUUCCUCGCUGGGCAUCCAGCGGGGAAGAAAGAAUUUCGGUCAAGGAUGAGCUCGCGGCCUAUCAGCUAGUUGGUGAGGUAAUGGCUCACCAAGGCGACGACGGGUAGCCGGCCUGAGAGGGUGACCGGCCACACUGGAACUGAGACACGGUCCAGACUCCUACGGGAGGCAGCAGUGGGGAAUAUUGCACAAUGGGCGAAAGCCUGAUGCAGCAACGCCGCGUGAGGGAUGAAGGCCUUCGGGUUGUAAACCUCUUUUAGCAGGGAAGAAGCGAAAGUGACGGUACCUGCAGAAAGAGCACCGGCUAACUACGUGCCAGCAGCCGCGGUAAUACGUAGGGUGCAAGCGUUGUCCGGAAUUAUUGGGCGUAAAGAGCUCGUAGGCGGUUUGCCACGUCUGCUGUGAAAAUCCGAGGCUCAACCUCGGACUUGCAGUGGGUACGGGCAGGCUAGAGUGCGGUAGGGGAGAAGGGAAUUCCUGGUGUAGCGGUGGAAUGCGUAGAUAUCGGGAAGAACACCAGUGGCGAAGGCGCUCUGCUGGGCCAUAACUGACGCUCAUGGACGAAAGCCAGGGGAGCGAAAGGGAUUAGAUACCCCUGUAGUCCUG
Molecule: ribosomal RNA, 689 nt
Filed under: uncultured Actinomycetales bacterium
Lineage: Bacteria; Bacillati; Actinomycetota; Actinomycetes; Actinomycetales
Description: bacterial SSU rRNA
Rfam family: Bacterial small subunit ribosomal RNA
Source: RNAcentral